This 301-nucleotide ribosomal RNA is filed under the name uncultured bacterium. RNAcentral's name for it is "partial 16S ribosomal RNA". It matches the Rfam family "Bacterial small subunit ribosomal RNA", at positions 509 to 808 of the family's 1533-position model. The record is from RNAcentral.
CAGCCGCCGCGGGAUACGAGGGGGGCAAGCGUUGUUCGGAAUUAUUGGGCGUAAAGGGUGCGUAGGCGGUUUGACAAGUCAUCUGUGAAAUCUAUGGGCUCAACCCAUAGUCUGCAGGCGAAACUGUCGGGCUUGAGUAUGGGAGAGGUGAGUGGAAUUUCCGGUGUAGCGGUGAAAUGCGUAGAUAUCGGAAGGAACACCUGUGGCGAAAGCGGCUCACUGGACCAUAACUGACGCUGAGGCACGAAAGCUAGGGGAGCAAAUGGGAUUAGAUACCCCAGUAGUCCCUGUCUCUUAUACA